CCGGACGAAAGGGGAUCCUUGGCUUUCCAAGUCAUGGCAUCUCUUGAAAGGGGCGCGGCACGUGCAGGCUGUUGCGAUUAAAGUUCCAGUGCCAUUGUCCGUUUCAUUGAUUGCAGGCUCGCAGGACAACUCGAGGAAUUCACAUGUUUGAUUAUUCGACACUCUGCAUGAUAUCCAUCCAUUGGACUAUUUUUUUU
Molecule: long non-coding RNA, 197 nt
Organism: Copidosoma floridanum
Lineage: Eukaryota; Metazoa; Arthropoda; Insecta; Hymenoptera; Encyrtidae
Source: RefSeq, a predicted model, not a curated record